GUACUGGUGUUUCAGUGGCAGAAUUCUCAACUUCCAUGCAGGAGACCUGGGUUCGAUUCCCAGCCAACACA
RNAcentral lists this transfer RNA (71 nucleotides) under Loxodonta africana (African savanna elephant). It matches the Rfam family "tRNA". From Rfam's summary of the family: Transfer RNA (tRNA) molecules are approximately 80 nucleotides in length. Their secondary structure includes four short double-helical elements and three loops (D, anti-codon, and T loops). Further hydrogen bonds mediate the characteristic L-shaped molecular structure. tRNAs have two regions of fundamental functional importance: the anti-codon, which is responsible for specific mRNA codon recognition, and the 3' end, to which the tRNAs corresponding amino acid is attached (by aminoacyl-tRNA synthetases). tRNAs cope with the degeneracy of the genetic code in two manners: having more than one tRNA (with a specific anti-codon) for a particular amino acid; and 'wobble' base-pairing, i.e. permitting non-standard base-pairing at the 3rd anti-codon position. The record is from Rfam by way of RNAcentral. Lineage: Eukaryota; Metazoa; Chordata; Mammalia; Proboscidea; Elephantidae.